UUGUUCGAGAUCUUCACUCUUCUUAUGACCUCAGUGGUCAAUACCUAUAAAUCUUCUCCUCCCAUGAUACUUCAAAUUUUUUAAUCUCUUUUGUGUCAUUACUAAGGUACUUAGACCAACCUUUGUCCAUCUUAUGUAACUAGUCAGGUAGAGUCUCCUCCAAGGGCUAAGUGUAUCAUUUAUCAAUAUUGGAAAGUAAACUGGGUCUCUCCUUCUAGGUAACAAAAGUGUUUAUAUUCUCUGACAACUCAACCCAUGCGACUUAUCAAUUCUCACUCCUUCUCUGGAAU
Molecule: unclassified non-coding RNA, 290 nt
Filed under: Hevea brasiliensis (rubber tree)
Lineage: Eukaryota; Viridiplantae; Streptophyta; Magnoliopsida; Malpighiales; Euphorbiaceae
Source: RNAcentral